This 321-nucleotide ribosomal RNA is filed under the name uncultured eukaryote. Its description in RNAcentral is "partial 18S ribosomal RNA". It matches the Rfam family "Eukaryotic small subunit ribosomal RNA", at positions 1470 to 1796 of the family's 1831-position model. The record is from RNAcentral.
CCCUUAGAUGUCCUGGGCUGCACGCGCGCUACACUGACACGUUCAACGAGUUUUGCCUGCUCCGAUGGGACUGGGUAAUCUUAUGAAAGCGUGUCGUGAUGGGGAUAGAUUAUUGCAAUUAUUAAUCUUCAACGAGGAAUUCCUAGUAAGUACAAGUCAUCAGCUUGUGCUGAUUACGUCCCUGCCCUUUGUACACACCGCCCGUCGCUCCUACCGAUUGGGUGAUCCGGUGAAUAACUCGGACUGCAGCUAUUCGGGAGACCGUUAGCUUGCGGAAAGUUUAGUAAAUCUUAUCACUUAGAGGAAGGAGAAGUCGUAACA